GCGGGGAACGGACGGUGCCGACCUGAGGCUGGACGGCGUGCGGCUGUCGGUAGAGAUAACGUUGACCCGGCUGGGUUUCUGUCAGCCCGCUUAUCCCAGCUGAAAACGCUCGCUUAGAAAACCGAAACCUUCAUUAAGACGUCGUCGUCGGACGGCAAGUAGUAACGAUCGGCAAAAGAAAGCAUGCGUAUAAAAUUGUGCUGCCUCUUGGUUAUACAUUACUAUUAAAACCUCUCUGACAGUUUCUCUUUUAGGUGCUUGCCCUGCCAGGCUCCGUUGUGUAGGGGUUAAAGAGCAGUCGUUUCCCACCUCGCAACCUGUGGAUUCAGCUGUGUUGGGGCAGAAGAGACGGGACCAGCUGCUGGCCACAUUUCCUGCUUUAUUUUAAAAGGUAGUAUAAGAAAUGAGAAUAAAGAGGUAACAGGGCUUUUGCUAUCUUUGUUUAAACAAACAAACGAAAAAAGGUUGAAUGCUGGGAUUCAUUAACUGUCAUCUGAGAUAUUUUUUAGAAGACAGUAUUCUAUCAAGCAGUGCUUUCAGAAUUCCAUCUGUUCAGGAUGCACUGCCAGCACAAGAGAGACUUAAGAUAUGCAUUACUGCGGUGGCAUCGGCAGGACUGUUCCAAGGUUCAGUCUUUAGCUGUGUGCUCUGCUGUAAGUGGUGGGUUGUGCCAGGACCUUCUCAAGAUAUGUGCUGACUGAUCCACAAAAUGGAAAUUAGUGAGUUAGAUUGAGCCUAGGUUGAAUCUGCCUGGCUCAGGAUUCACAACCAUGCUUCAGUUUGAAUUUUAGUGUGUGCAUGAGGAGAAGGGAAACACUAAAUGCAGCAAGUGUGGGAUGUUACAGUGGCAUUUCUACAGUCACUUCAGUGCAGAAGUUUAAGUUAAAUAUGCAUUAUUUCAUUUUGCAUCACUACAAAGCAGUAGGAGUUAGAGAUCUAUGUUAUGAAGCUGCACAUCACUCCAGCCAUGAAACCACCUGUGAGCUGUGUCUGAGAGUAGCUGAUGUUCUGGUACACACAGUGACAUAGACCUGAACAAGAACAAGGUCAAGUCCCAGAAAGUAAGUGGCUGCAGGCAUAUCUAGUGCCUGCUGAGUCAUAUUUAAUCCAAAUAGAGGGGAGGAGAUUAUUUGAAACUAACCAACUGUACCAUCUGUAUGGUGUAUUAAUGUAGCUUUUUGAAGUGGAAGCCUUGAAAUGACUAUAACUUAAUACUUGAAAAUAUAUUGUAAAUGUUUCUUUGUAAUGACGUGCCAUCCAGAUGAGAUAUCGUAAUAAAGUCAGACCUGUUGAUCUUUCAGUUGAUGGGCUCAGAUGUUUUCUUCAUCUUUUUCCUCUCGCUGGUACCUUGCUUUAAUUGAGUGCUUCACUACACAAAAUGGGAAUCAGGAAAAUUCUGCUGCGUGGGUAAGCUGAUGGAACAGAAGAUUAAAUGGAUCAGCACAUCCUGAAGGAAGGUUCUUGCUCAUCUGUCUUUCAAGUUAGUUUGGGGUAAAGAAGAAACAAAGGCAUUGUUCCUUGAACCAAAGAUAGAACUGUUCUUCAGCAAUAACUACAUUUUGUAUUUCACAGCUGUUUCCCUUUAUUAGUGUGAAUAUAUCUAAUCAAUAAGCCACAGAGGAGUGGAGUUUUUACAUUCCGUGGGCUGCAGUCUCCCUCUGCUAUCCUUACUAAGUUCUGAAGUUUGAUAAAUAGUAAUGUGCUCUUAGCCAUAAUGUUCCAUCAUACUGUUGUUUCUAUGUUCAGCACUAGGGUGAGUGUAUGUUAGAGGGUUCUGAAGGGACAGCAUUUGUAAAGCUCCAGAGUGAGCCAUGUGCUGCUGUGGACUUUAAUUUCUAUUACUCUUAAAUGCAUUAUUUGUAAAGAGCACAUUAAAGAAAUGUGCUGGCUUUCAGUGCUGAACUGCCUAACUAUACUAAAUUUUCCAGUAUUUCUUCACCCCAAGAUCACCUGGAGCCUAUUUCGAGUUCAGUAAGAAGCAAUUUCAUUCUUGGUUCACUGGUAGUCUUUUACAGACAGCACAUUAACUUUUCUUCUGUUUUCUGAAGAGCUUAACAGCAUCUGGAGGAACAUCUACCCAGCAACUGCCCACAGAACCUCUGUUCUCAAAAGCUAGCAAAGAGUUUCCCUGUGAGAAUCAACAAGAUUCUAUUUGUAGCAUUAUAUUUAUAAAUGUUUCAAGGAUUUAUUAGCUGUUGUGGAUACUCAAAUGGGUUGUGUUUAAAGAACACCCUGUGUAAAACUGCACCUUGGCAGUAAUGGAGUCUGUGUUUUCUCAUCCAACUGCUGUUGGAUAUAGAGAGCUGGAGAAAUAACACUGCCUCUGCUCACUGGCAGGAAGGAACAUUGAGAUUUGCCAUCUGAAAUGAAAAAUGUACAAGAUAAACACUAGAAAAGUACUAAUUUUAUCUUCAUUUUUCUUUAUAGCCAGUCCCUUAGUGUCCUUCUGGUAGAGUUCAGACUUAAACUAAUCAUAAAUCUAUCAGUACAGGCUAUUUAUCAGGCAUGUGACGUGUAGUCUGUGACUGCCUCCUUGCAGCUAUGAAGGUAGCAGAAGGCAUACAGAUCAGACCUAAAGGAAUAUUGUUUUCCUCUUGUUAUACAGAAUGCUCUCUACCUUCCAUCCUAAAAUAAGAGUAGAGAACAGUUUGUCCUCACUGAAUCAUUUAAAAGCACAGCAUGCAUUUUGAUUAGUUGGAGAAUAAUUACCGCUUGAAUUGAUAGCAAAAUAAAAACAGUGCAUGGAAUGGAAGGAGGUUUUGAACAUCACCCAUAGUGUGAGGGUCUGCUUUCACUGUCAGCCAUGUAAACACUCAAGUAACCACCUCUGAACCAUUCAUUUUCUUAAAGACACUAGUGCAAAGUAAUAGCUUAAAAUAUUAUUGUUUUUUUUCUUUGUCACAGGUAAGUGGUUCAGUGAGUUAAAGUCUGAUGAUACAACUCCUGGAAAUACCAUCGUUCACUGCCUAGUAAAAUAUUUGUGAGAAUCACUAAAGUGGAGGAUGAUGAAGGUAAGGCUGGCCAAAACGUCCCCUUAGAUGCAGGUCAGUGUGAGAACAUAGGAAUACUUCAGGCCAAGCAAAACUAAACCAACUUUGUGUAACAGCUGUUGCUGUAGUGUCAUUUUGCUGCUUUGCCUGUACAAAUAAGGUUAUAGAGAAAUAAUAGCAUGAUUUUCCUGCUAUAACAAGGAAACUAAAAUAAACGUGAAACUAAAAUACAA
Molecule: non-coding RNA, 3223 nt
Organism: Meleagris gallopavo (turkey)
Lineage: Eukaryota; Metazoa; Chordata; Aves; Galliformes; Phasianidae
Source: RefSeq, a predicted model, not a curated record